UACGAAGGGUGCAAGCGUUACUCGGAAUUACUGGGCGUAAAGGGUGCGUAGGUGGUUUGUUAAGUCUGCUGUGAAAUCCCCGGGCUCAACCUGGGAAUGGCAGUGGAUACUGGCAAGCUAGAGUGCGGUAGAGGGUAGUGGAAUUCCUGGUGUAGCGGUGAAAUGCGUAGAUAUCAGGAGGAACACCUAUGGCGAAAGCAGGCUUCUGGACCGUCACUGACGCUGAUCCGCGAAAGCUAGGGGAGCAAACAGG
RNAcentral lists this ribosomal RNA (253 nucleotides) under uncultured bacterium. RNAcentral's name for it is "partial 16S ribosomal RNA". It matches the Rfam family "Bacterial small subunit ribosomal RNA", at positions 524 to 776 of the family's 1533-position model. The record is from RNAcentral.